Ribosomal RNA from Gadus morhua (Atlantic cod), 120 nucleotides. Lineage: Eukaryota; Metazoa; Chordata; Actinopteri; Gadiformes; Gadidae. The record is from Ensembl.
GCUUACGGCCAUACCACCUUAGGCACGCCCUGAUCUCGUCUGAUCUCGGAAGCUAAGCAGGGUCGGGCCUGGUUAGUACUUGGAUGGGUGACCGCCUGGGAAUACCAGGUGCUGUAAGCA